Molecule: unclassified non-coding RNA, 472 nt
Filed under: uncultured Archaeospora
Lineage: Eukaryota; Fungi; Glomeromycota; Glomeromycetes; Archaeosporales; Archaeosporaceae
Description: SSU rRNA
Rfam family: Eukaryotic small subunit ribosomal RNA
Source: RNAcentral
AGCAGCCGCGGUAAUUCCAGCUCCAAUAGCGUAUAUUAAAGUUGUUGCAGUUAAAAAGCUCGUAGUUGAAUUUCGGGGUUAGUAGGUUGGUCAUGCCUCUGGUAUGUACUGGUCUCACUGAUUCCUCCUUCCUGAUGAGCCGUAAUGCCAUUAAUUUGGUGUUGCGGGGAAUUUGGACUGUUACUUUGAAAAAAUUAGAGUGUUUAAAGCAAGCUAACGCUUGAAUACAUUAGCAUGGAAUAAUGAAAUAGGACGUUCGAUCCUAUUUUGUUGGUUUCUAGGAUUGACGUAAUGAUUAAUAGGGAUAGUUGGGGGCAUUAGUAUUCAAUUGUCAGAGGUGAAAUUCUUGGAUUUAUUGAAGACUAACUACUGCGAAAGCAUUUGCCAAGGAUGUUUUCAUUAAUCAAGAACGAAAGUUAGGGGAUCGAAGACGAUCAGAUACCGUCGUAGUCUUAUCCAUAAACUAUGCCAA